ACAUUGGACAUUGUGCCCUUUCAGUGCCCAGCUCAUUUCUGAAUUUCUGACAGUGAGUGUCAGAGAGUGAACUCACAGCUCUAUAUAUCACUCCUCUCUCUCUCCCCUCACUGCUGCCCCGCUCUCUCUCUCUCUCUCUCUCUCUCCAUUGUUGCCCAAUUUGGAGCUGCUGCAGCUGCUACAUUCUUCCCUUUUCAGUCUCCAAGCUGUGCAGUGUGCUCCAAAAUGGCGGCCACCACCAGCUUCCCCUACCCCUCUGCAAUUUUCCUGUCAGUCCUCAUCAUUUCAGGGUUCAUGUUUCCAGAAACGGUAAAUUCAAUGGGAAUAAACUACGGCCAAAUCGCCAACAACUUACCGUCACCGGACGACGUCGUUCCGCUGGUGAAGUCCAUCGGCAUCUCCAAGAUCAAGCUGUACGACGCCGAUCCCAAAGUCCUCAAAGCCUUCGCCAACACUGGCGUCGAGUUCAUAGUGGGCCUCCCCAACGAGUACCUCUCCAAGGUCCAGGCCCCGGCCCAGGCCCAAUCCUGGGUCAAGUCCAACGUCCAGGCCCACCUCCCCGCCACCAACAUCACAAGCAUCUUCGUCGGCAACGAGGUCCUCACCCUCAACGACACGUCGUUGAGCAACAACCUCCUUCCGGCAAUGCAGAGCGUCCACUCCGCCCUCGUUGGUCUAGGCCUCGAUAAGCAAGUCGCCGUCACCACCGCCCACUCCCUCUCCAUUCUCGAGACCUCGUUUCCGCCCUCCGCCGGCGCUUUCCGCCGAGAUCUGACUAGCUGCAUCACUCCGAUCCUCAAUUUCCACGCCAAAACCGGAUCGCCAUUCCUGAUCAAUGCCUACCCUUACUUCGCCUACAAGUCGAAUCCAAAGCAGGUGCCGCUCGACUACGUCCUCUUCCAGCCGAACUCUGGCUCCGUCGAUCCCGCCACCAAUCUCCACUAUGACAACAUGCUCAUCGCCCAGAUCGACGCCGUGUACUCCGCCCUGGGCUCCCUCGGUUUCAAGAAGCUCCCGGUCCACAUCUCCGAGACCGGGUGGCCGUCGAAGGGAGACGAGGACGAGGCCGGAGCGACGCCGGAGAACGCGAAGAAGUACAACGGGAAUCUGAUCAAGCUCAUUUUCCAGAAGAAGGGAACGCCGCUCAGGCCCGGGUCGGAUCUCAACAUCUACGUCUUCGCUCUGUUCAACGAGAACAUGAAACCCGGCCCGAGUUCAGAGAGGAAUUUCGGGCUUUUUAAACCCGACGGGUCGCCUGCGUACUCAAUCGGCCUCGCGGCGGGCAACAUUUCCUUUGGUAACUCCAGUUCGAGUUCGGGUUCGGGUUCGGGUUCGAGUUCGGGCCAGGGACAGGUGAACCCGAUUAGUAACGGUAGAUCCCCGUCGGAUUUUUCCGGCACGCCAUACUUGUCCAUUUCCUCCGCCCCGGCCACAGUAAGUCCUCCCAACUUUACCUUACUGUGAAGAGUGUGAUAGUUGUAAACUGGACAGGUGUCGAUUCGUUAGUGGUCGUUCAUUCGUUGAUAAGAUUUAGAAGUGAUUUUAUUAUAAUUUUAAAGAGACUCUUUGUUUGUAACCGGUAAAUAAAAAUUCAACAAUCUAUGUGUCUUGAUCUCCUUGGGCUCAGGAGAGAUUCAAAUCUUUUAUAAUUAACAAUCCAUGUCUCUUGAUCAGGAAGAUUCUCACCUUGGCUCAGGAGAGAUCCAAAUCCUUUAUAAUCACCGGAGACGGUGGUCUCGUUGAAUUUGAUUGAGGUCGAUUUAAUAGUGACGUGGCGGUGAAUACGACGUCAUCCGGCAUGUGAUAAAAAUGGAAUUAUGUUUUUUAA
RNA transcript from Pyrus x bretschneideri (Chinese white pear), 1828 nucleotides. It is a transcript of the gene named glucan endo-1,3-beta-glucosidase 11, with no coding region annotated. The record is from RefSeq and is a predicted model, not a curated record. Lineage: Eukaryota; Viridiplantae; Streptophyta; Magnoliopsida; Rosales; Rosaceae. The transcript is spliced from 3 exons.